AUGCUGGCUUCAGCAGCAUAUAUUCCAAAGCUGGAACAGUGCCGAGAAGAUUAGCAUUGCCCAUGAGCAAAGAUAACAUAGAAAUCAUGGAUGUUCCUCUCAUUAAA
Dipodomys spectabilis (banner-tailed kangaroo rat) is the source of this 107-nucleotide small nuclear RNA. NCBI's taxonomy places the organism in Eukaryota, Metazoa, Chordata, Mammalia, Rodentia, Heteromyidae. The record is from RefSeq and is a predicted model, not a curated record.